This 391-nucleotide long non-coding RNA is filed under the name Pectinophora gossypiella (pink bollworm). RNAcentral describes it as "uncharacterized LOC126371124". The record is from RNAcentral. Lineage: Eukaryota; Metazoa; Arthropoda; Insecta; Lepidoptera; Gelechiidae.
AGACGAAACCACUUGGGUCUUUAUUAAUAUCAGAAAUGCACCCCGGAGGACCACCAGGACACGACCACCCACCGGGCCCACAACAUCCCCCGCACCACCCCCCACAUCAUCCGCCGCAUCACCCACCAGGUCCGUCACCCACAGGACCUCCUGGCCCUGAACCUCGCUAAAUUAAUGAUAGGUCACGGGUACUGCCCCCCACCACCUGGCCCCCAGUUUCACCCGCCGCCACCUGGACCUCACUUUCACCCGCCGCACGCGCACGGUCCACACCACCCACCACCUCCACAUAGACGAUGACCUAUCAUUUCCACAAUAUUAUUUUUUUAUACAUAUUUAUGAAAGAUGUAAAUAACCGUUGACUGUAGUAAAAAUAAUCUACUAAGUAUAA